GAUGAACGCUGGCGGCGUGCCUAAUACAUGCAAGUCGAGCGAACGGACGAGAAGCUUGCUUCUCUGAUGUUAGCGGCGGACGGGUGAGUAACACGUGGAUAACCUACCUAUAAGACUGGGAUAACUUCGGGAAACCGUAGCUAAUACCGGAUAAUAUUUUGAACCGCAUGGUUCAAAAGUGAAAGACGGUCUUGCUGUCACUUAUAGAUGGAUCCGCGCUGCAUUAGCUAGUUGGUAAGGUAACGGCUUACCAAGGCAACGAUGCAUAGCCGACCUGAGAGGGUGAUCGGCCACACUGGAACUGAGACACGGUCCAGACUCCUACGGGAGGCAGCAGUAGGGAAUCUUCCGCAGUGGGCGAAAGCCUGACGGAGCAACGCCGCGUGAGUGAUGAAGGUCUUCGGAUCGUAAAACUCUGUUAUUAGGGAAGAACAUAUGUGUAAGUAACUGUGCACAUCUUGACGGUACCUAAUCAGAAAGCCACGGCUAACUACGUG
RNAcentral lists this ribosomal RNA (497 nucleotides) under uncultured bacterium. Its description in RNAcentral is "partial 16S ribosomal RNA". It matches the Rfam family "Bacterial small subunit ribosomal RNA", at positions 28 to 507 of the family's 1533-position model. The record is from RNAcentral.